RNAcentral lists this ribosomal RNA (575 nucleotides) under uncultured bacterium. Its description in RNAcentral is "bacterial SSU rRNA". It matches the Rfam family "Bacterial small subunit ribosomal RNA", at positions 102 to 673 of the family's 1533-position model. The record is from RNAcentral.
ACGGGUGAGUAAUGUCUGGGGAUCUGCCCGAUAGAGGGGGAUAACCACUGGAAACGGUGGCUAAUACCGCAUAACGUCGCAAGACCAAAGAGGGGGACCUUCGGGCCUCUCACUAUCGGAUGAACCCAGAUGGGAUUAGCUAGUAGGCGGGGUAACGGCCCACCUAGGCGACGAUCCCUAGCUGGUCUGAGAGGAUGACCAGCCACACUGGAACUGAGACACGGUCCAGACUCCUACGGGAGGCAGCAGUGGGGAAUAUUGCACAAUGGGCGCAAGCCUGAUGCAGCCAUGCCGCGUGUAUGAAGAAGGCCUUCGGGUUGUAAAGUACUUUCAGCGGGGAGGAAGGCAGUGAGGUUAAUAACCUUACUGAUUGACGUUACCCGCAGAAGAAGCACCGGCUAACUCCGUGCCAGCAGCCGCGGUAAUACGGAGGGUGCAAGCGUUAAUCGGAAUUACUGGGCGUAAAGCGCACGCAGGCGGUCUGUUAAGUCAGAUGUGAAAUCCCCGGGCUUAACCUGGGAACUGCAUUUGAAACUGGCAGGCUUGAGUCUCGUAGAGGGGGGUAGAAUUCCAGG